UGGCUCUUGCAUCGAUGAAGAACGCAGCGAAAUGCGAUAAGUAAUGUGAAUUGCAGAAUUCAGUGAAUCAUCGAAUCUUUGAACGCACCUUGCGCUUCUUGGUAUUCCGAGAAGCAUGCCUGUUUGAGUGUCAUAAAAUUCUCAAGUUUUGAAUCUAGCUAAGAAUCAGACUUGGAUUUAUGGAAGUUGCUGGCUUUUUUGAAAAAUGAGUUAGCUCUUCUUAAAUAAAUUAGCAAAAUAACUGCUAAUCAUCAUUUGAUAUGAUAAAUCAUCUAUAUCAUUGAUCAAUAGUGUAUUUUGCUUCUAAUAGCUUCAUUUUUACAUUGUGUUUGACCUCAAAUCAGGUAGGAUUACCCGCUGA
Molecule: unclassified non-coding RNA, 361 nt
Filed under: uncultured fungus
Lineage: Eukaryota; Fungi
Description: partial contains 5.8S ribosomal RNA and internal transcribed spacer 2
Rfam family: 5.8S ribosomal RNA (bases 1-133)
Source: RNAcentral